Molecule: long non-coding RNA, 1036 nt
Filed under: Helianthus annuus (common sunflower)
Lineage: Eukaryota; Viridiplantae; Streptophyta; Magnoliopsida; Asterales; Asteraceae
Source: RNAcentral
AUGGAGCGGAAAAGAGUAAUAAUUAAAUGACCAGCCAGUUGGGCAGAGUAGAAUGCCAGUGACAGAAACUAAAAUCGCCACUAUUUUCUUUGAUUGAGUCGAGCCCACUUAUCUCUAUAGUAUAAAACAUAGAGGCUUCAUAUGAAACACAUGGGCUGCCAUAUGUACUAAGCCCAGCAAAACCUUUAAAGUCAAGAUAGUGGGCCGCUAAUUUCCACAUACAAGUUCACGAAACAUCAAAUGAGGACCGUUACUUCUAUUUUUUGGGCUUUUGGAAACAAGAAACUAGUGGAUUGAAUAUUAUAGAAACAAAAACCCUAAAGGCCAGGAGAUUGAUUAUAUAGUGGACGUGAAUCAAAGUGAAAGGGAUCCCCUAAUUAAUUUUUCGUAGGGCAGAGGAGGUUGACGGCAGAAACACAACAGCAGGCUGCGAUCAAGAGGAAAGAAAGAAAAGAAAGGAUUGGUUCGAGCUUCAAGCCGCAAUCAAGUUUCAAGUUCGGGUUGAGAUGAACUAGAGGAUUGUAAUGCGUCCUGGUGCAAAUGGAGCGGAAAAGAGUAAUAAUUAAAUGACCAGCCAGUUGGGCAGAGUAGAAUGCCAGUGACAGAAACUAAAAUCGCCACUAUUUUCUUUGAUUGAGUCGAGCCCACUUAUCUCUAUAGUAUAAAACAUAGAGGCUUCAUAUGAAACACAUGGGCUGCCAUAUGUACUAAGCCCAGCAAAACCUUUAAAGUCAAGAUAGUGGGCCGCUAAUUUCCACAUACAAGUUCACGAAACAUCAAAUGAGGACCGUUACUUCUAUUUUUUGGGCUUUUGGAAACAAGAAACUAGUGGAUUGAAUAUUAUAGAAACAAAAACCCUAAAGGCCAGGAGAUUGAUUAUAUAGUGGACGUGAAUCAAAGUGAAAGGGAUCCCCUAAUUAAUUUUUCGUAGGGCAGAGGAGGUUGACGGCAGAAACACAACAGCAGGCUGCGAUCAAGAGGAAAGAAAGAAAAGAAAGGAUUGGUUCGAGCUUCAAGCCGCAAUCAAGUUUCAAGU